Molecule: long non-coding RNA, 322 nt
Filed under: Rhinopithecus bieti (black snub-nosed monkey)
Lineage: Eukaryota; Metazoa; Chordata; Mammalia; Primates; Cercopithecidae
Description: lncRNA (ENSRBIG00000045418.1)
Source: RNAcentral
UUGAGUUGCUAGUAAUAACUUUCAAUUAUUCAGUUAAUCAUGUUUCCUCUAUAUAUGUGACUCAGCUUUUCAGGUGUAUUCCACAUUGUCUCUACUAGUGAACUAGGAUAAUCCAUUGUGUAUCUCACCCUCCUUCACUACCCUGUGAAAGUCACAUGUGAGAAGAAGCAUCACAGAUGAUUCCAUGGGGAACAUCCCGGAAGUUCUCCAAAUGGUAGAAGCAGUGAAAAAACCAAGAAGAAAUAGAGAGACAGAGAUCCAGAGAUAGUUAUUUUGGGCUUUUGGCUCAAUUCUGAGUAAACAGUGCACACCCAUGUGGGAG